CCCUAGUAACUGCGAGUGAAGCGGGAAAAGCUCAAAUUUAAAAUCUGGUGGUCUUUGGCCAUCCGAGUUGUAAUUUAGAGAAGCGUCUUCCGCGCUGGACCGUGCACAAGUCUCCUGGAAUGGAGCGUCAUAGAGGGUGAGAAUCCCGUCUUUGGCACGGACACACCAGGGCUUUUGUGAUGCGCUCUCGAAGAGUCGAGUUGUUUGGGAAUGCAGCUCAAAAUGGGUGGUGAACUCCAUCUAAAGCUAAAUAUUGGCGAGAGACCGAUAGCGAACAAGUACCGUGAGGGAAAGAUGAAAAGCACUUUGGAAAGAGAGUGAAACAGUACGUGAAAUUGUUGAAAGGGAAACGCUUGAAGUCAGUCGCGUCGACCGAGACUCAGCCUCGCCUUGGCUUGGUGUACUUCUCGGCUGACGGGUCAGCAUCAAUUUUGCCCCUUGGAUAAUGGUGAGGGAAAUGUGACACCUUUACGGUGUGUUAUAGUCCCUCGUCGCAUGCAAGGGUUGGGAUUGAGGAACUCAGCACGCGCCUUCGGGUGUCGGGGCUUUUUGCCCACGAUACGUGCUUAGGAUGUUGGCGUAAUGGCUUUAAACGACCCGUCUUGAAACACGGACCAAGGAGUCUAACAUGCCUGCGAGUGUUCGGGUGGAAAACCCGUGCGCGCAAUGAAAGUGAAAGUUGGGACCUCUGUCGUGGAGGGCACCGACGCCCGGACCAGACCUUCUGUGACGGCUCUGCGGUAAAGCAUGUAUGUUAGGACCCGAAAGAUGGUGAACUAUGCCUGAAUAGGGUGAAGCCAGAGGAAACUCUGGUGGAGGCUCGUAGCGAUUCUGACGUGCAAAUCGAUCGUCAAAUUUGGGUAUAGGGGCGAAAGACUAAUCGAACAUCUAGU
RNAcentral lists this ribosomal RNA (893 nucleotides) under Russula caerulea. RNAcentral's name for it is "LSU rRNA". It matches the Rfam family "Eukaryotic large subunit ribosomal RNA", at positions 78 to 948 of the family's 3401-position model. The record is from RNAcentral. Lineage: Eukaryota; Fungi; Basidiomycota; Agaricomycetes; Russulales; Russulaceae.